This 21-nucleotide non-coding RNA is filed under the name Caenorhabditis elegans. The record is from RNAcentral. Lineage: Eukaryota; Metazoa; Nematoda; Chromadorea; Rhabditida; Rhabditidae.
UAAAUAAAAAUUGGAAUGGAA